UUCGAUUAACGCGAAGAACCUUACCUGGGCUAGACAACGGCGGACCGUCCUAGAAAUAGGAUCUUCCCUUCGGGGACUGCCGGUUCAGGUGCUGCAUGGCUGUCGUCAGCUCGUGCCGUGAGGUGUUGGGUUAAGUCCCGCAACGAGCGCAACCCUUGCCCUUAGUUGCCACCAUUCAGUUGGGCACUCUAGGGGGACUGCCGGCGUUAAGCCGGAGGAAGGUGGGGAUGACGUCAAGUCCUCAUGGCCCUUACGGGCUGGGCUACACACGUGCUACAAUGGCGGUGACAGUGGGAUGCGAAGGGGCGACCCGGAGCCGAUCCUGAAAAGCCGUCUCAGUUCGGAUUGCACUCUGCAACUCGAGUGCAUGAAGGUGGAAUCGCUAGUAAUCGAGGAUCAGCAUGCCUCGGUGAAUACGUUCCGGGCCUUGUCACACCGAAUCACUA
RNAcentral lists this ribosomal RNA (446 nucleotides) under uncultured soil bacterium. RNAcentral describes it as "bacterial SSU rRNA". It matches the Rfam family "Bacterial small subunit ribosomal RNA", at positions 950 to 1384 of the family's 1533-position model. The record is from RNAcentral.